UGGGGAGAAGACAUUGUGUCUUCGAGUCGUUGAUUUCACACUGCCGAGAAAAGCCUCUAGAUAGAAAAUAGGUGCCCGUACCGCAAACCGACACAGGUAGUCAAGAUGAGAAUUCUAAGGUGAGCGAGCGAACUCUCGUUAAGGAACUCGGCAAAAUGACCCCGUAACUUCGGGAGAAGGGGUGCUCUUUAGGGUUAACGCCCAGAAGAGCCGCAGUGAAUAGGCCCAAGCGACUGUUUAUCAAAAACACAGGUCUCUGCUAAACCGUAAGGUGAUGUAUAGGGGCUGACGCCUGCCCGGUGCUGGAAGGUUAAGAGGAGUGGGUAG
RNAcentral lists this ribosomal RNA (327 nucleotides) under Staphylococcus aureus. Its description in RNAcentral is "bacterial LSU rRNA". It matches the Rfam family "Bacterial large subunit ribosomal RNA", at positions 1566 to 1893 of the family's 2925-position model. The record is from RNAcentral. Lineage: Bacteria; Bacillati; Bacillota; Bacilli; Caryophanales; Staphylococcaceae.